Molecule: unclassified non-coding RNA, 319 nt
Filed under: Hevea brasiliensis (rubber tree)
Lineage: Eukaryota; Viridiplantae; Streptophyta; Magnoliopsida; Malpighiales; Euphorbiaceae
Source: RNAcentral
GUUGGAUUUCCUGUUGCUUGAGAAGGUUUCCAUUGCUCUGCAGCCAUUUGCCUCUAGAACUUUUAGAGACAGGGGAAGUUCAGGCAAAGCUCUCAGGCUCUUGCAAUAGCUCAAGUAAAUUGAACGCAGCUGAGAUACUUUAUGGAUACUGCUUGGAAGGCUCACAAGCUUUUUACACUCAUCAAGCUUCAACUCUUUAAGGCAAUUCAGGUGCUCAAUGGAUGAAGGUAACUCUUGUAUUGCUGUUCCACUUAGAUGAAGAUGUUCCAAAGAUUUCAAAUUGUAGAUGCUGUCUGGAAGCCUCUUGAGAUUUUCACAG